This 204-nucleotide long non-coding RNA is filed under the name Nicotiana benthamiana. Its description in RNAcentral is "long non-coding RNA (NBEN_LNC026193)". Lineage: Eukaryota; Viridiplantae; Streptophyta; Magnoliopsida; Solanales; Solanaceae. The record is from RNAcentral.
UGUCCAUAAGACCACUAAUAUAGGCCAAACCAAAAGAUAGCACAUAACAUAUAAUUAAUCCAUAUAUUGUCCAUAUGUAUGUAGUAUAAGUCCAAAUAUCUAACAAUCUCCCACUUGGACUAUACAUUCAUGCAUAUGUACAAACUUUAGCAUUAUUUGUUACAUUAUAACUUUAUGAGCUCAGAAUUGCUAUCAUAAUAAAAU